This 73-nucleotide transfer RNA is filed under the name bacterium. Its description in RNAcentral is "tRNA-Ile". It matches the Rfam family "tRNA". From Rfam's summary of the family: Transfer RNA (tRNA) molecules are approximately 80 nucleotides in length. Their secondary structure includes four short double-helical elements and three loops (D, anti-codon, and T loops). The record is from RNAcentral. RNAcentral also lists the same sequence under 4 other names.
GGGCCCGUAGCUCAAGGGUCAGAGCGGCCGGCUCAUAACCGGCGGGUUCCUGGUUCGAGCCCAGGCGGGCCCA